Molecule: ribosomal RNA, 253 nt
Filed under: uncultured bacterium
Lineage: Bacteria
Description: partial 16S ribosomal RNA
Rfam family: Bacterial small subunit ribosomal RNA
Source: RNAcentral
UACGUAGGGGGCAAGCGUUGUCCGGAUUUACUGGGCGUAAAGAGCGCGCAGGCGGUCGGUCAAGUCGCGUGUGAAAGCCCCCGGCUCAACUGGGGAGGGUCACGCGAUACUGAUCGACUCGAAGGCAGGAGAGGGUAGUGGAAUUCCAGGUGUAGCGGUGAAAUGCGUAGACAUCUGGAGGAACACCGGUGGCGAAGGCGGCAUCCUGGACCGGUAUUGACGCUGAUGCGCGAAAGCCAGGGGAGCAAACGGG